Molecule: ribosomal RNA, 257 nt
Filed under: uncultured prokaryote
Description: partial 16S ribosomal RNA
Rfam family: Bacterial small subunit ribosomal RNA
Source: RNAcentral
UACGUAGGUGGCAAGCGUUGUCCGGAUUUAUUGGGCGUAAAGCGAGCGCAGGCGGUUCCUUAAGUCUGAUGUGAAAGCCCACGGCUCAACCGUGGAAGGUCAUUGGAAACUGGGGAACUUGAGUGCAGAAGAGGAGAGUGGAAUUCCAUGUGUAGCGGUGAAAUGCGUAGAUAUAUGGAGGAACACCAGUGGCGAAGGCGACUCUCUGGUCUGUAACUGACGCUGAGGCUCGAAAGCGUGUGGAGCAAACAGGAUUA